Molecule: long non-coding RNA, 2565 nt
Organism: Sapajus apella (tufted capuchin)
Lineage: Eukaryota; Metazoa; Chordata; Mammalia; Primates; Cebidae
Exons: 3
Source: RefSeq, a predicted model, not a curated record
AUAGUUUAUUUUUACUGUACCUUUUAUAUGGUUAGAGAUGCAAAUACUUAGUAUUGUGUUACAAUUGCCUGUAACUAUUCAGUACAGUAACACUCUGCACAGGUUGAUAGCCUAGGAGCAAUAGGCAAUACGGUAUACCCUAUGCGUGUAGUAGGUUGCAUAAUCUAGGUUUGUGUAAGUACAAUGAAUUCACUUAAGGAUGCAUUUCUCAGUGUAUUCCCAUUGUUAAGCAACGCAUGACUCUGUUUGCUAAAUUGAUGGAAAAGAUUGUUUAUACUAUUUUCAAGUCCAUUAUAUCAUCAUGUUUGAAUAUAGAAUUUUGGAUUCUUAGAAGUGGACAAUGUUUUAAGAACCCUUCAUGCCCUGGCUUCCUGCUUCAUUGAGGCUAAUACCUAAGAGAUCACAAAAAAGGAACUCUUCAUGUAUCAAGUAGUCCUGGGUCCUCCCAUAGCUUUUUGCGGCUUUCUAGACAAAGGAAGGUCACCUGGGCAGUCUAGCGUGAAAGUUAAACAAAGACCUCUGGUCUCCCGGAUGGAGAGUAACCAAUUCUUCCCUUUACAUGAACCAUGAAGCUUAAGAGCUGACUGAAAGAUGUGAGAGAAUUUCUCUUACCUCUUAAGUAGCUGGAAAAUUGCUAACUGUUCUGAAGUGAGCAUGUUUUCUUGGUCAUCUCUUUGGGAUUCUCAGGUAGACUGAAGUACAUCUUCAGAGGACUAAGCCCUUGCAACACAAAGACUGCAGUAUCAAGUACAAAGUCACCACAUCAUAGAACUGGGAUGGAAGUUGAAUUCAUCGUGGUUGAGUAAGUCUGGUCAAAGCUAGUCUAAGUCAGAUGCCUGCUUAAAUGAACAGAUUAUAAGCUAAUUAUUCUACAGGAAACACAAUAGUUUCAUUUGCCUCUUGGUGCUUAAAGAGAAAACCCAUGGUGUAGAUUGGCUCCAAUUAAAUUCAGUGAAUCAAGCUUCCUAUGGAAUUAACCGAACAAUUAUGUCUAGUACUGGUCCAAGCAUGCUCUCGGGGUUUUUGGAUGAUGAUGUAGUGAUUAAGAGUGGCAAUGAUGGGUCUAGACCAUGCAGCCGCAGCUCUGCUAACCACAAAUAUUUCUUUUGAUAGGUAGGGUACAGAGUAACUCGUCUUUAAAAUCUCUAAUGAAAUCCCUAAAAGCACGGAAUAUAAUUAAAUUCAGAGUUUUUCAGGUGAUGGAGGUUGUCUGUGUGAAAAAAUAUGUGGUUCAAUUGGACCAGCUUAAAAAUUCCUUGGUCAGCUUGUCUGUGUUUGUUCUUGGCUGCUUUAGUGCUUUAAAACAGUCCGGUUAAAUCAGACUGUCAAAAUGGUGAGGUUCCUGUUUGAUUUACUCAUGCCAUAUAAACCCACACAGAGUGUUAUGAAUGCCACAUUUGAGAAAAUCUCCCAUUUGUGAAAACAUAUUGGGUCACAUUAAAAAGAAGAUUAAAUGAAUCCCUUUUUCAAAAAGUUUUUGGUAGGUAGAAAGGAAUGCUGAGGUGACGCCUGUGUAAUGGCAGAACUACAGAUGCCUCUUUCUGGUGGAAAUAUGUUCUAUGGGCUAAAUUUCAUCACGUGGCAGGAGGGGAGACUAUAAGAAGCAGGCUUCAAAUUACCCUUAAAUGGGAGGCUGGCAAAUUAAAUCCUGACCUUCAGCAUGGUAUUUAGAGCGCAGAGCAAGAAGCAGCUCACACAUUCUCUAAAGAAACCCUACUGUAAGCUGAGCUGUACCUCAGCUCUGCUGGGCAUACUCUCCUUCACUGUGCUACAUUGUAGAAUACAGGCAAUUGAGUGUGUGACCCACUUAUUUUACUUCUACAGCAUUUACUGCAAGCAUACUUUGUUUGAAAGGUCUCAAUCCUAUUCAAUUUAAAUAGAUUUAUGAGGCCAGUGGAUUUAAAUGCACAAAUAGGUAUAUUAUAUAGAUGUGUCCCAAGUUAGAUAAGAUGAGAUUUUAUAGAAAGGAGAGUGUCUUCCAGACUGGUGUGUGCACCAGUGUCCAGCAAGGUACAUGUAAAGCUCAUCAGAUGACUAAGGGUGACUCUUGAAACCUUAAUUCAUGGGAACAAAGCGCAUUUAUGGUCAAUACUGAACAAGACUCUCCAAUUUCAUAUCCUUCCUCUAAAUAGGACUGGCAGUUAGGCCCUUAAGGAAUGAUUCUAAACAUUUCUAACUCUUUUAUAAAUACAGUGAUAGCAAUUGAAGAAAUAGCUUCUUAUUAACUGAAAACACAACGAUUCUAGAUAGGUGAUAAACAGAAAGCUUUGUUGUGUGAGGUAGCUCUGAGACAACUAUUUUAUUUCUUUGAAAGCAGAAAAAUGACUACAAUUGUCAUGUAUUUUUCGUUACAAUUUUACUGCUUCAAGACGUAAGUUUCACAAACAGUUAAAAGGUUUAAGGAUAUUCCAUUUAUUAAAGCCUUAUUUGUAUUCUUUAACAUAAUUUGCUGAUCAAAUGAGUCCUGUUCAAGUCAUAUCCCAACAGCAGUUCCAAGCCAUUACCAACAUUGCUGCAUGAUUGGGGUUUAAUGGGGUAAAACACAUUCAUGUAGCUUUUCUGUAG